Long non-coding RNA from Anolis carolinensis (green anole), 8257 nucleotides. RefSeq lists it as uncharacterized. Lineage: Eukaryota; Metazoa; Chordata; Lepidosauria; Squamata; Anolidae. The transcript is spliced from 4 exons. The record is from RefSeq and is a predicted model, not a curated record.
GCGGGCCGCAUGAGACACUUAGUUAAAACUUGGGGUGAGAAAAGGAUAAGAAUAAUACUAAGAAUAAUAAGAAACUAUUGUCAUUUAAGUACUCUUCAUUGUGUAUUUCUUCUUACAGUAUCCCAACUCAUGUAUUAAGUAUAGAAAAUAAAAGUAUAGAAAAGUAUAGAAAAGGAAACUCUGGGCAAGAGAACUGCCUUGCAAAGCACUGACAUUCGGGGGUGAGAAUAUUACAUCAGAUCAUUAUUAUUAUGAUAUUUAUUCCAUUAUUUUUAUUUAUUAUAUUAUUACAGUACAUAUUAUUCUAUCCUAUAACUUCCUUCCCAAAGGCCCCUCUCCUCCUUCCCCCCUCCCCUCUGGCUUCUGCUUCUCCAGGGCUAUAAAUAGCCUCUCUCUCUCUCUCUCUCUGCCUCUCUCUCGCCGGCUGCCUCCGUCUCCCGCUGACGUCACGGCCGACGUCAUUGUGUAGGAUGCUGCUUUUCUUAUGAAUGGGGCCGCGAGGUCUCCGCUGUUACUACGAGGCCCGCGCUAUAAAGGCAGGAGACGCAGCAGCAGCAGCUCCAGCUCCAGCAGAUCCACAUCCACCAGAAGGAAGCAAGCAAGGAAUUAAUGAAUGGGAAGAAGGAGAAGGAGAUUAAGGAGAAGAAGCACACUAUUAUUAUUAUAGUAACAUUGGAGGAAGGAGCAGAAGGAGAGAGCCAUCCAUGGCCAGCAGGAGACAUGGUGGAAAGAUGUCUUCCCGGCCCCGCCUUCUUCGCCUCAGCAAGCAAGAGUCCAAAAGUGGCAGGCUCAAACCCAGAAUCUCAAUCAGUGGCUGAGACCAAAUGAGAACACGGUAGGUGGUUAGAAAUUGUGGUUGUUGACCUCCCAAACACCAGGAGGGCCGAAGUCUGCCCAGGCCUGAUCUAUACAGAUCUUUCCACCUUCUCUUCUAUCUAUCUAUCUGCUUGCAAAACCGAACUCUGAGCAGCACCCGCGCGACUGUGCUCCCUCCUCCUCCUUGCACGCACGAGAGAGGGCUGGCGCUUGUGAUUUGUGUCCCUCCGUCCCAUAAAGCUGCCUCCCAGUAACAAACGGCCUGAUCGGGGAUGGAGGCAUCGUCGUUCGUCCUCCUCAUCGCCCUCUUUAUGGCUUUCUCCGCCAGGAGGGAUUUAAUGGGAGCCCCAUAACCAUAAAGGAGGCAUAUUUCCCCGGGGAAGCUGUCAAAACGUUUGCGUUCGGAGCGAGUUAAAUGGCAGCUGCUCCCCAAACACACCUCGGCCCGACGGGGAUGGCUGGCAUCUCUCGAAAUUGAGGGCUUUUCCCCAUUGCGUUGCCUUGAACGUCUGCAUUGCAAAUCAACAAAAACGCAUAUCGUACCUAAGCUUAUGGAAAUGAAGGACUUUGGCCCCAAGGAUACCAUACGCUUGCAUGGGAGGACCUAGGAAAGGCCUUGAUAUGAAGUGCAAUAAGCUUGACCAGACACCCUAAUUAAUGCAUAUUGUUUUUAAACACAAUCUAUAUAUAUAAAAAUGUAAUGUUUGUUUUACUACGGAGUAAACAACAAAACCACUGAACCAAAUCACACCCAAUUUGGCCACAAAAGACACAGUUAUCCUAUCAACAUCUUUCAAUCAAAAAAAUCUAGAGAAAAAUUACAGAGGACGAGGAAGAGCCGUUCUCCCCUGCCUGUCAGUCAGAAGGGUAGCUGUGGCGAAGUGUGGUGGUAUGGGAAAUUAACUAUUGAGAAAUUGGUGGCAGUUAGCAUAUGUUACUUCCUAAAGCUUGUAAAUAUACAAUAUUUCUGGUUGUUCCUUUUUUUGUCUGUUGGAGGCAGGAUGAUUAGCAUGUAAUGGCCUUUCAGCUUCAAAGCCUGGUUGCUUCCUCCCUGGCAGAAUCUUUCAUUGGGAGGUGUUAGCUAGCUCUGAUUGUUUUGUGUCUGGAAUUCCCGUUUUCAGAGUAUUGUUCAGAGUGAACCCUGCCUGACCGCCAGGCGCCAUUGUGGCCGAGGGGGUUGCUAUGACACGAAGGGGGUGGAGCCCAAAGGGGGCGGAGCCUACCCUUCUGACUGGCAGCCAAGGGGGAGAACGGCUCUUCCCCAUCCUCUGUAAUUUGGACUUUAUUUUUCUAGGUUUUUUUAAAAUUGAAAGACGUAGAUUGGAUGACUGUCUUCUGUGGCCAAAUUUGGUGUGAUUUGGUCCAGUGGUUUUGUUGUUUACUGCAUGGGAAUUAUGCACAUUACAUUUUUAUAUAUAUAGAUGAUAAGCCACACACAAACAUGGGAGUGAAAAUCCCCAAAUACCUGUAAGCGGGGAUGCUGGGGUUUGCAAUCAUGAUGGACUCCAAGUGAAAACGGCCGUCUCCCAAAUACCUGCCAUUGGGAAAUCAACGAGAGAGGGGAUUAUGGGAGUUGCAAUCACAUGAAAGGAAAGGAACUCAUAUUAUUAAUUCCUCCCCAUUUGUCCCUUUCACAGCCCAUUAGGCACCCCCGUUAUCGGCAAUAAUUAGGUGUCUCAUCCGCUGCAGCCUCCAUCUGUCUUCCCCAAAUGGGAAUAAAAUAAAAUACAAUAAAAUAAAUGCAAUCUUCCCUCCCUUGAGUUGAUUGAUGGGACAUAGAGUACCCAACAAUUGUUUUGAGUUCCCUCAAGGAGGUAGGGCGGAAUACAAAUAAAGUAUUAUUAUUAUUAUUACUACUACUACUAUUAUUUACACUUGGCUCAGAGGCCCCCUAUUGGGAUGGGGACCUGUCACUCACACAAUAGCAUCGGUGUUGCUAGGCAACCGGGGGGCAGUGCAUCCCAGGAUCUCUCCCGGUGACAGAGGCUUGCUUUGUGGGAUUUGGACACAAUAUUCCGGAGCCAAGUCCCGAGCGGACGCCUGCAGAAGAAGACAUGUAUUAUAUACAUACAUACAUACGGUUUUCAAGCUGAGUCCAGAUGGACAUCUGUCGGGAGAGUGUGGAUUAUGUCCUGGGUUUCUCCAUCUACAGAAUGGGAAUAUUAUAUCCAACUAUAGGGAUCUCAAUGGCAAAGGAUUGUUUUCGGCCUCAGUUUCCUCACCUGCAGAAUGGGAAUAAUAUUAUAUCCAACUAGCUUUGCCCAGCCACGCGUUGCUGCUUCCUGCCUGGGGGAAUCCUUGGUUGGAAAGUGUUAGCUGGACCUGACUGUUUCCUUUCUGGAAUUCCCAAUUUCCCUGCUUUCAGAAUGUUGCUCUUUAUUUACUGUCCUGGUUUUAGAGACAAUAUUGUUCUGUAUUAUUACACCACAGUAAUUAUUUCCUAUUAUAUUUAUAAUCUUAUAUUAUCUGUUUAAAAGUGGAUUAUAUGAGGCCCCUUCUACACAGCUGCAUAAAAUCCACACUGAAGUCUAUUAUAUGGCAGUGUGGACUCAAGAUAAUCCAAUUCAAAGCAGAUAAUAUAAAAUUAUAAAUGGAUAAUAUAGCUGUGUGGACAGACCUUGAGUCUACACUGGCAUAUAAUCCAGUACAAAUUAGAUAAUCUGUAUUUUGUAGGCAGUGUGGAUGAGGCCUAAGUGCACUCUGCCCUGUGCCCCAUUUCGGCUGAAGGAAUUGCUAGGAUACGAAGGGGGCGGGGCCUAAAGGCAGAAGAGCCUACCUUUCUAACUGGCAGUUAGGGGGAGAAAGGCUCUUCCUCAUCUUCUGUAAUUUGGACUAUUUUUCUAGGGUUUUUUUAUUGAAAGACAUACCUUGGAUGACUAUGUCUUUUGUGGCCAAAUUUGGUGUGAUUUGGUUCAGUGGUUUUGUUGUUUAAUCCAUAGUAAAAACGAACAUUACAUUUUUAUAUAUAUAGAUUAUAAUGUCCUCAAUUGGUGGCAGAAAUUGGGCCGCACCAGAUGGCCUCCCAACUCUAGGAUUAUAUUAGAGCCUAUAAGGUCUUUACCUGGAGGGCAGAGAGGAACUGGACAGUGCUGACCAGGGCCAGCCUGGAGCCGGGGUCAAAGUUGAAGCGGACGGAGUCCACGAAAUGUCCCGUAUCCACCUUGAUGUCUACAAAGACAUACAGCAUCUGCAGGCCCCGCGUGGCAUCGAUCGGGACUGUUUAUGUGGGGGAAAAGAAGGAAAAAAAUAACUAUGUUUCCAUCCAAGUUUCUAGUCCACAUGGAGUACGUUUGGUCCCAUUAUACUCGAGGCCAGACAACGGGAGAGGUCUGAGGACAAUUCACCAUGAUUUAUAGGCGCUGUAGGUACUGGGAUUUAUAGUUCACAUUGAAGUCCAUCAACAAUGGACCUGGAACUCACCUGGCACACAGAACCCCCAUGACCAACACAAAAUACUGGAGGUCUUUGGAGGGAUUUAUAGGAGUUGUAGUUGACCUACGUACAGAGCACACUAUGAACCCAAACAAUGAUGGAUCUGGACCAAACUUCCAUGCAUACCCAGUAUACCCAAAUUUGAAUACUGGUGGGUUUGGAGGGGAAUUGGCAUGGACAUUCUGGAGUUGUAGUUUCCCGAGAUGUAUAGUUCACCUGCAAUCAAUGAGCAUCCUGAACUCCACCAAAGAUGGAAUUGGACCAAAUUUGCCACACAGAAUCCUUAUGACAAGCAAAAAAUACUGGACGUCUUUGGUGGAAAUUCACCUUGAUUUGCGGUAGUUGUAGUUCACCUACAUCCAGAGAACACCGUGAACCCAAACACCAAUGGAUCUGGACCCAACUUGACACACAUAACUGAUAUGCCAAAAUUUGAUGACUGGAGGAGAUUGGGGGGAACUGACCUUCCUUUCUGGGAGUUGUAGUUCACCCACUGAUAAUGGACCUGGACGAAACUUGGCACACAGAACAUCCAUGACUAACUCAGCCUACUGGAGGGGUUUGAGGGGAUUGACUCACCAUAGUGGGAGUUGUAGUUCACCUUACAGCCAGAGAGCACACUGAACCCCACCGAUGAUGCAUCCAGAGCAAACCUGCCCAACAUCACAAACUUGAAGUACUGAUGGCGUUUCUCAGGGUUGACCUGGCCUGAUGUGAGUUGUAGUUCAUCCACAACCUUAUGUGUUUGGUACAAUCAAAAACUGACUUUUUCUCAUAACCCAAGCAAUGCCGGGUACCCAAGCUAGUAUAAUAAUAAAUGCUAAGGUGGAUGUCUGCCACCAAAUGUUGCAUAUAAAUAAUAAUAAUAGUAAUUAUUAUUAUUUGCCCUGCUUUGAGUCUCUCUUUUUUUGGGGGGGGGGGAAUGAAAUAAUAUCAAAUUUUAAGUACUGAUGGAGUUUGAGUGGGUCAACCUGGCAUGAUGGGAGUUGUAGUUCGCCCACAACCUUAUGCCUUUUAGACAAUGAAAACAUUGAUGUUUUCAAUGCAAUGGCGGGGACGCAAGCUAGUAAAUAAAUAUGUUUUCUCCUCUCCUUCUUGCUUCCUCCCUUCAUUCAUUCCUUCCUUCACUUCUCAUUCGUUCCUUUCUUCCCUCUCUUCUUUCCUUCUCGUUCCUCCUCCUCCUCUCUCUCUCUCUCCUCCAUUCUUUCCCUGGCUAUUCCUUCCCCUUUUCCCUCCCUCUGUUCCUAUCUCUCUCUCUUUCUCUCCCUCCCUCCUUUUUCUCUUCGCCACCUGCACGGAAAGUGGGUCAAGGGCUCCUCCUUGAAUUCCUUUCCCUUUUGGCUCUGAAACUUCCCCUUCUUAAAAAAUAAUAGAAUAAAAAAAUAUAAGAAUAGAAGAAUAUAAUAGAGUAAUAUAUAAUAUAAUAAUACAGUAAUACUGUAGAUGGUAAUAUAAUAUAGUUAUAUAUAUAUAUAUAUAAAAUAUAGUAAUAUUAUAUAUAUAUAUAUAUAAUAUAUACCCCUAGUCUCUUUCCUGCUCUCAAAACAAUGCAUCAAAACUCCUUUGCACCAUCUCCUUCCAUAAGCAAUGACAUGGGGAUGAUGGGGGAUAUAAUCCAAUAUUUUUUUUUGGGGGGGGGGGGGGAGGUUUACAAAAAAUAUCCCGUUCCCCCUUUUUCCAUUCUGGAUCCACCUUAAAUAAAAUAAAAUAAAAACCCCAUUCUUUCCCAAUGUUAUUUUGAGCCUGAUUCCAUCCUGGUUGGACUUCAAAGGGAUGCAGAAGCAGCAGCAGCCGCAGCAGCAUUUGGGACAUCCUCGCUGUUUCCAUGGCAACGGGAUCCCGGGUACCAAAGGGAGGGAUGCAGGAAUUGCAGGGAAGGAUGCUCUCUCGCUUCAACCCCUCCCUCUCUUCUCCUUCCUUCCAUUCCUUCCCCGGGAAUGAUGGGAAUUGCAGUCCAUUGGAACUGACCGACUGACCGCUCGCUCACUGACCCAGGCAGCUGUGUCCAUAAUGGACCAAGAAGUCGGCCCCCAAGGCCUUGGCGGUGAAGUCGUCCACGCAACAAGCCCCGAGUUUUGCAUUGCAAAGCACAUCAUCCACAGCCUCCAACAAGGGCCUCCAACAAGAAUGCUGGGCUUUGUAGGAGGAGGAGGAAGAGAAGGCCUUCGCAUCAGCAGCACACAGAUGGCGUUGCUCACACUCUUCUCGCCUUGUGAAUCAGCCCAAAGCGGGGGACGACGGGUGUCGCUGUAGGCGUCGAAAAGGGAGACAGGUUUGGGGUGGGAGUUCAUUCUGGGGGCUCCCUGGGAUGAAUAGGGAAACCGCCCCAGGAACUGAGUCACACAUUGCUAUUUCCAAAGAGAUGCCAUAAUCCAAAAGAGUUGGAAAAGGGACCCCCAAAGGUCAUCUAGUCUGAACCCCGUCCCGACAUAUAGAAAUACACACACUCCCAAAAGAUGGGCAUCUAACCUCUGUUCAAGGAUCACAAAAAAGGGGAGCCCUACCAGUUUCAAAGAAAGACCAUAAUUUAUUUAUUUAUUAUUUAUUAGCAACAUUUAUAUCCCGCUCUUCUCACCCCGAAGGGGACUCAGGGCGGCUUACAAGUUAUAUAUACAAACAAUAUAUUAUAUUAUUAGUAUAGCGCAAUAUAGGCACUAUAUAAGCAUUAUAUAUUAUUAUAUUGUACUAUACGACUAUAUUGCAAUAUUAUUAGUAAUAUUACAUGGAAUAUAAAUAUACAAUUAUAAUAGUGUAUUAUUAUUAUUACUUUAUUAUAUUAUUAUCAAUAUUUAUUAUUAUUAGCGACAUUUAUAUCCCGCCCUUCUCACCCCGAAGGGGACUCAGGGCGGCUUACAAGUUAUAUGGACAUAGUAUAGCACAAUAUAUGCACUAUAGAAGUAUUAUUUAUUAUUACGGUAUAUUGUACUAUAUGACUAUAUUGCAAUAUUAUUAUUAAUACUGCAUGUAAUAUAAAUAUACAAUUAUAAUAGUGUAUUAUUAUUAUUACAUUGUAUUACAUCAUAAUAAUUCAUUAGAAUUGGAAAGGGAAUUCAUUAGAGUUGGAAGGAGACCCCCAAAGGUCAUCUGUUCUGAACCCCAUUCUGCUUUAUAAUAAUAAUAAUAAUAAUAAUAAUAAACUUUACACAAACUUCCAAAAGAUGGGCAUCCCACCUCUGUUUAAGAAUCAACAAGGAAGGGGAACAUGCCAGUUUCAAAGCAAGGCCAUAAUUCAUUAGAAUUGGAAAGGGAACCCCAAAGGACAUCUAGUCUAAACAGCAUUCUGUCUUAUAGAAAUAAUAAUAAUAAUAAUAAUAAUAAUAAUAAUAAAUAAACAUUACGCACACUCCCAAAAGAUGAGAAUCUAACCUCUGUUCAAGGAUCACAAAAGAAGGGGGAACCCUACCAGUUUCAAAGGAAGGCCAUAAUUCAUUAGAAUUGGAAGGGGAACCCCAAAGGUCAUCCAGUCCGAACCCCAUUCUGCCUGAUAGAAAUAUACACACUCCCCAAAGAUGCCCAUCCAAGGCUUCCGAAGAUGGAGAAUCCGCCCCAGCACCAUGAGGAAGGGGGCAGGGGUGUGUCUGUGAGUGUCCGGAUGCUGGGCCUUGCAAUCCCUGCCCGCACUCACCCGCUUUCCCCUCCUUCUUGACUGCCUCCACUUCCAUGGCUGCCUCUAGUGCAAUGGCGGCGCCCAGCAACGUGGAAAGCCCGGAAAGGCAUCGCGAGCAGAGCGCAGAGCAAUGGAUCCCCUAGGCAGGAGCAGGAGAAAACCGAGCGCAUCGAUUGGAAGCCAAACAAAGCUGCAGGAGAGAGAAGGGCAAAAAGGGUUGGACUAUAUUUAUGUAUCUAGGAAAUAUCUUCAAAAAUGGACUUUAAUAAUAUUCUGUUUAUUGUAAAAUCGGAAGAGUUUUGGAAUUAGAUUGGGCCGCAAUAUUAGAGGUAGAGAAAGUUUAAUAAACACAUAGAAACAUUUAAUAAUAAUAAUUUAAUAAAUAAAUAGAUGCUGAAUUUA